This 595-nucleotide ribosomal RNA is filed under the name Salmonella enterica subsp. enterica serovar Enteritidis. RNAcentral describes it as "partial 23S ribosomal RNA". It matches the Rfam family "Bacterial large subunit ribosomal RNA", at positions 1 to 584 of the family's 2925-position model. The record is from RNAcentral. Lineage: Bacteria; Pseudomonadati; Pseudomonadota; Gammaproteobacteria; Enterobacterales; Enterobacteriaceae.
GGGUUGUGAGGUUAAGCGACUAAGCGUACACGGUGGAUGCCCUGGCAGUCAGAGGCGAUGAAGGGCGUGCUAAUCUGCGAUAAGCGCCGGUAAGGUGAUAUGAACCGUUAUAACCGGCGAUACCCGAAUGGGGAAACCCAGUGUGACUCGUCACACUAUCAUUAACUGAAUCCAUAGGUUAAUGAGGCGAACCGGGGGAACUGAAACAUCUAAGUACCCCGAGGAAAAGAAAUCAACCGAGAUUCCCCCAGUAGCGGCGAGCGAACGGGGAGGAGCCCAGAGCCUGAAUCAGCAUGUGUGUUAGUGGAAGCGUCUGGAAAGGCGCGCGAUACAGGGUGACAGCCCCGUACACAAAAGCGCAUGUGCUGUGAGCUCGAUGAGUAGGGCGGGACACGUGGUAUCCUGUCUGAAUAUGGGGGGACCAUCCUCCAAGGCUAAAUACUCCUGACUGACCGAUAGUGAACCAGUACCGUGAGGGAAAGGCGAAAAGAACCCCGGCGAGGGGAGUGAAAAAGAACCUGAAACCGUGUACGUACAAGCAGUGGGAGCCCCACCACCAAAGCAUUUGCUGUACCGCGUUGACGGAGCGAAGCGA